UACAGAGGUGGCAAGCGUUGUUCGGAAUUACUGGGCGUAAAGGGCGCGUAGGCGGCCUUCUAAGUCAGACGUGAAAUCCCCCGGCUUAACCUGGGAACUGCGUCUGAUACUGGGAGGCUUGAGUAUGGGAGAGGGAUGUAGAAUUCCAGGUGUAGCGGUGAAAUGCGUAGAUAUCAGGAGGAACACCGAUUGCGAAGGCAGCUCGCUGGGACGUUACUGACGCUGAGACGCGAAAGCGUGGGGAGCAAACAGG
Molecule: ribosomal RNA, 253 nt
Filed under: uncultured bacterium
Lineage: Bacteria
Description: partial 16S ribosomal RNA
Rfam family: Bacterial small subunit ribosomal RNA
Source: RNAcentral